CUUAGUACGGCGAGUGAAGCGGUAAAAGCUCAAAUUUGAAAUCUGGUACUUUCAGUGCCCGAGUUGUAAUUUGUAGAAUUUGUCUUUGAUUAGGUCCUUGUCUAUGUUCCUUGGAACAGGACGUCAUAGAGGGUGAGAAUCCCGUUUGGCGAGGAUACCUUUUCUCUGUAAGACUUUUUCGAAGAGUCGAGUUGUUUGGGAAUGCAGCUCAAAGUGGGUGGUAAAUUCCAUCUAAAGCUAAAUAUUGGCGAGAGACCGAUAGCGAACAAGUACAGUGAUGGAAAGAUGAAAAGAACUUUGAAAAGAGAGUGAAAAAGUACGUGAAAUUGUUGAAAGGGAAGGGCAUUUGAUCAGACAUGGUGUUUUUUGCAUGCACUCGCCUCUCGUGGGCUUGGGCCUCUCAAAAAUUUCACUGGGCCAACAUCAAUUCUGGCAGCAGGAUAAAUCAUUAAGAAUGUAGCUACUUCGGUAGUGUUAUAGCUUUUUGGAAUACUGUUAGCCGGGAUUGAGGACUGCGCUUCGGCAAGGAUGUUGGCAUAAUGGUUAAAUGCCGCCCGUCU
This 560-nucleotide ribosomal RNA is filed under the name Hanseniaspora uvarum. RNAcentral's name for it is "partial large subunit ribosomal RNA". It matches the Rfam family "Eukaryotic large subunit ribosomal RNA", at positions 79 to 654 of the family's 3401-position model. Lineage: Eukaryota; Fungi; Ascomycota; Saccharomycetes; Saccharomycodales; Saccharomycodaceae. The record is from RNAcentral.